GAAACCGCGUAAUUGAACAAAAGAAUGAGAGGGAGAGAGAGAGAGAGCAUAAAAAUGAGUGAGAUUGUGUUGGCAUCAAAUUUUCCUGCGUUUUCAUGAUUUUAAUACAUUUCCUGUGUUCGCGGGUCUUAUAGGCAACACGCUUUUCUCUCCUUCUCAUUCAAUCCAUCCCUCUAUUUUAUAUCUCCAAACUUUCACUCACUCUCUCUUCUCUCUUUCUCUCUCUCCAAAGCCAAGCCAGAGUUAUGAACAAUCUCUGAGUUUUCAUUGAGGUGACUCGAGGUAUUUGUUCAAAAGAAGACAAAGAUGUCUGGUUUUGUGGGUGUACUUGUUUCUGAUCCAUGGCUUCAAAGCCAGUUCACCCAAGUCGAGCUACGUACUCUUAAAUCCAAUUAUGUAUCGAUAAGGACUCAGGCAGGUCGCACCACAGUCGGCGAUUUGCCUCCUGUUUUUGUAAAAUUGAAGGCUUUCUCAGAGAUUUUUAAUGAGGAUGAGAUUAAGACUAUACUGGGGGAGUCUUAUUCAAACGCAGGAGAAGAACUUGAUUUUGAAACCUUCCUCCGGGCAUAUUUAAAUGUGCAAGCUCGAGUACCUGCAAAAUCAGGUGGAAGAAAACUGAAAUCUUCUUCUUCAUUUCUCAAAGCAUCAACAACAACUUUUCACCAUAACAUUAAUGAAUCUGAGAAGGCUUCCUAUGUUUCCCACAUUAACGGCUAUUUGGGAGAAGAUCCAUUCUUGAGUAAAUAUCUUCCAAUAGAUGCAGCCACAAAUGAAUUAUUUGAUCUGGUGAAAGAUGGAGUUCUUCUUUGUAAGCUUAUCAAUGUGGCUGUUCCUGGGACUAUAGAUGAGCGAGCUAUUAACACAAAAAAGGUCCUUAACCCAUGGGAAAGAAAUGAGAAUCACACCCUUUGCCUCAAUUCUGCGAAGGCUAUUGGCUGCACAGUUGUUAAUAUUGGAACACAAGACCUUGUUGAAGCUAGACCCCAUCUGGUACUUGGAUUGAUUUCUCAAAUUAUUAAGUCUCAUUUUAGUCAUAAGACCGGGAGAAUUGGAUUAUCUGGGCUUCCCUUGUAACUUGUGGUAUUUCUGUAUGGUGGCAACUUCAGAUUCAACUGUUAGCAGAUCUUAGCCUUAAGAAGACGCCUCAGCUUGUGGAGUUAGUGGAUGAUAACAAUGAUAUUGAGGAGCUUAUGGGCUUGGCCCCUGAAAAAAUUUUGUUAAAAUGGAUGAAUUUCCAUUUGAAGAAAGCAGGCUAUGAGAAACCUGUUGCAAAUUUUUCAUCUGAUUUGAAGGAUGGAAAGGCUUAUGCCUACCUGCUUAAUGUUCUUGCCCCAGAAUUCUGCAAUCCAGCUACAUUGGAUGCCAAGGAUUCCAAGGAAAGGGCUAAGCUGGUACUUGAUCAUGCGGAGAGGAUGGACUGCAAAAGAUAUUUAAAACCAGAAGAUAUUGUUGAAGGUUCACCAAAUCUGAAUCUUGCAUUUGUUGCACAAAUAUUUCAUCAAAGGAGUGGCCUUUCUACAGACAGUAAAAAGUAUUCCUUUGCAGAGAUGAUGAAAGAUGAUGUCCAGACAUCAAGGGAAGAGAGAUGCUUUCGACUGUGGAUCAACAGUCUUGGAAUUGCUACUUAUGUUAACAAUGUAUUUGAGGAUGUUAGAAAUGGAUGGUUACUUUUAGAAGUGCUUGACAAAAUUUCUCCUGGAUCAGUUAACUGGAAACAGGCAUCAAAGCCUCCAAUCAAGAUGCCGUUCAGAAAAGUAGAGAACUGCAAUCAAGUGAUAAAGAUUGGGAGACAAUUGAAAUUUUCCCUUGUUAAUGUAGGUGGAAACGAUAUUGUACAAGGAAAUAAGAAGCUCAUUCUUGCUUUCUUAUGGCAGUUGAUGAGAUAUAAUAUGCUUCAACUCCUGAAGAACUUGAGAUCUCACUCUCAAGGGAAGGAAAUAACUGAUGCUGAUAUUCUAAAAUGGACAAACAGGAAGGUUAGAAGUACAGGCAGAACUUCUCAAAUUGACAACUUCAAGGUUAGCAAAUUUUGGCACUUAUCUUUCUGUAAACCAUCAUAUCCUGAAUCCGUGGACCAUAAAUUUUGCAUGGUAUUAUUUUUCUCAACUUUUUUCAGGAUAAAAGUCUGUCAACAGGGAUAUUCUUCCUGGAGCUUCUGAGUGCUGUGGAGCCUAGGGUGGUCAAUUGGAACCUUGUUACCAAGGGUGAAACUGGUAUGCUAGUUCGCUAGUGCCACUAUUUUGGGCCAGACUAGAAAUAACUUGUAUUUGUGUUUAAGAGUAUAUUAUGAUUGCUCUUUUAUUUUUAAUCUUUCUGUUUACUUUUCUAAAGUGCCAGAGAAUAUGUUGAAAAAAACUGAUGGAAUUUUUUUUCUCUUCCUUUCUUUUCUUCCCUUUCUUCCAUGAAAUUCAGACGAUGAGAAGAGAUUAAAUGCUACAUACAUUAUCAGUGUGGCAAGGAAACUUGGCUGUUCCAUUUUCUUGUUGCCUGAGGAUAUCAUAGAGGUAGGAAUGCUACUGUAUUGGAUUGGUAAUUGUUUUAGAAGAUAUAUGGGAGCUCUUAAACACAACUUUAUGUGCUCCAUUUGUAACAAUGGCAAGCCUAGUCUGAUUGUGAAGAUUGUAGAACUUCUUCCUGAAAAAUUAACUGAAGCAAGGUUUCACCAAAACUUGCAGACUUGCAAUUUCUUACCAGCACACAAUUUCUUAUUGGCUUUUGGAGAUAGAGAUAAAUGAUCAUAAAACUAUUUUAUUUAUCAGUUGUUCAAUAUUGCAUCAUUAGAUGUGGAAAAUUAAUGCAAUCUAACUUGAUUAUUGUGGUUGUGAUGUGUUGGCAGGUAAAUCAGAAGAUGAUUCUCACUUUAGCAGCCAGCAUAAUGUACUGGAGCUUGCAAAAGGCAAUGGAAGAGGGAGAGUCAUCUCCUUCCCCUUCUAAUGGUACAUGUGCCACUACUCCUGAUGCAUCUCCUGCACCUUCUAUUAGUGGUGAAGACGAUGUCUCCUCCCUGGGGGGUGAAGUGUCAAAUUUAAAUAUCGACGAUGCUGCCUCUGAUACAACUGUCUCCUCACUGAUUGAGAGUGAGGAAGCUCCUGGAGGAGAAUGAACCAUAAAUAUUGAGGUUUUCUGCGAGAUCAUAUUGGGUGUAAUAGCCAGAAGAAAAUGAAUAUACAAUGUGCAGUUGGGUGGCUAAGUCUACUCAUCAACUUCUUUGAAGCGAAAGCAAAUGUGAAAACAUAAGGAAAGAAAGAAUAGAGUUCUGUAAAAUUGCUUUUUGAGAAGGAAAUAGAAGCUCGACUUGAACAUGUUUCUUUCCCAAUUUUUCUUUACAGGUAGUUAUACUGUUAGAUAUAUUCAUUUGACAUAAUCACAUUUUCUUACAGUAAUUAUGAAUUUGACCAUUAACUAUUCUGUCGGCUGUAAUCUUGGUUCUAUUAUUCUUAUUUGUAAAAAUGAAGAAACUCUUAGUCCAUGCCCCUUGAGCA
This 3482-nucleotide unclassified non-coding RNA is filed under the name Hevea brasiliensis (rubber tree). Lineage: Eukaryota; Viridiplantae; Streptophyta; Magnoliopsida; Malpighiales; Euphorbiaceae. The record is from RNAcentral.